ACGGAAGGCAGCAGUGGGGAAUAUUGGACAAUGGGCGAAAGCCUGAUCCAGCAACGCCGCGUGAGGGAUGACGGCCUUCGGGUUGUAAACCUCUUUCAGCAGGGACGAAGCGAAAGUGACGGUACCUGCAGAAGAAGGACCGGCCAACUACGUGCCAGCAGCCGCGGUAAUACGUAGGGUCCGAGCGUUGUCCGGAAUUAUUGGGCGUAAAGGGCUCGUAGGCGGUUUGUCGCGUCGGGAGUGAAAACUCAGGGCUCAACCCUGAGCGUGCUUCCGAUACGGGCAAACUAGAGGUAUGCAGGGGAGAAUGGAAUUCCUGGUGUAGCGGUGGAAUGCGCAGAUAUCAGGAGGAACACCGGUGGCGAAGGCGGUUCUCUGGGCAUUACCUGACGCUGAGGAGCGAAAGCAUGGGGAGCGAACAGGAUUAGAUACCCUGGUA
RNAcentral lists this ribosomal RNA (439 nucleotides) under uncultured Aeromicrobium sp. RNAcentral's name for it is "partial 16S ribosomal RNA". It matches the Rfam family "Bacterial small subunit ribosomal RNA", at positions 341 to 792 of the family's 1533-position model. The record is from RNAcentral. Lineage: Bacteria; Bacillati; Actinomycetota; Actinomycetes; Propionibacteriales; Nocardioidaceae.